GGUCGAGCGGCGAUCGGAGGCAAGCGGCGAUCGGCGAUUUUGAGGUAUACUGGAUUUUGAGCAAAGGUCCUCCUCCCUCUCUCCGAUCGAGCCAUAGUUCCUCCUCCCUCUCUCCGAUCAAGCCCUCCUCCCUCUCUCCGAUCGAGCAAAGUUCCUCUUGGUCACUGGAUUUUGAGCGAUAAUUUGUAGAGUUUUGCUAUCAUGGGCUAUAUGGACACAAUUCUACGGAGCUUAAGAAUGUGAAAGACAAGCUUUUCUCUCUCUUCAAUGAGUACUCGAGCAAUACGGAUGGUGAUAGAAGAAGGAACUUGAAGAAAUCAAGCAAUGAGGGAACUUCUCGUGUGUAUGAUGACACAUUUGAUCAAGAUUGCAUUGAUAUCUUGAGGGAAUUCGACUCGUUUGCAAUUAGAUAUUGGAGAAUGUAUGCCAACACAAGUAUGAACCUCUCAUACUGUGAUGCGGUAGCUGAAGAGAAGCAGCUAGGGGGUGACCUUCAAAUGCAUGAGAGAUGAUGUCAUUACUUAUAAACAUGGUUGUUGCUGCUAAGCAGCUGCGCAAGGAGUUGAGCAGUGCCAAAUGAACAAAUAGAGAGAGAAAUGUUUAUUUUGUUGCCUAUUUUAAUAACUUGGGAUUCUGUUAUGUUGAUUGGUAUUUUAGAUUUGUUGAGGGAAGUGUAAGAGGAUAUUUAGAGUGAGUACUUGUUUUCAUUGAGAGUAAGCUAAGUUUCUGUAGGCAUAUAUGCUUUGAUUGUUUUUUUAUUUAGGUAAUGUAUGGAUGCUAGUGAUGAUUAUAUAGAGAGCUAUGAUUGUUUUUUUUUAUUUAGGUAAUGUAUGGAUGCUAGUGAUGCUUUUUAA
Asparagus officinalis (garden asparagus) is the source of this 854-nucleotide long non-coding RNA. RefSeq lists it as uncharacterized. The transcript is spliced from 4 exons. The record is from RefSeq and is a predicted model, not a curated record. NCBI's taxonomy places the organism in Eukaryota, Viridiplantae, Streptophyta, Magnoliopsida, Asparagales, Asparagaceae.